RNAcentral lists this ribosomal RNA (250 nucleotides) under uncultured bacterium. Its description in RNAcentral is "partial 16S ribosomal RNA". It matches the Rfam family "Bacterial small subunit ribosomal RNA", at positions 524 to 773 of the family's 1533-position model. The record is from RNAcentral.
UACAGAGGUCUCAAGCGUUGUUCGGAUUCAUUGGGCGUAAAGGGUGCGUAGGCGGCGCCGUAAGUCAGGUGUGAAAUCCCGGGGCUCAACCCCGGAACUGCACUUGAUACUGCGGUGCUUGAGGACUGGAGAGGAGACUGGAAUUCCCGGUGUAGCAGUGAAAUGCGUAGAUAUCGGGAGGAAGGCCAGUGGCGAAGGCGGGUCUCUGGACAGUUCCUGACGCUGAGGCACGAAGGCCAGGGGAGCAAAC